UAGGGAAUCUUCCGCAAUGGACGAAAGUCUGACGGAGCAACGCCGCGUGAGUGAAGAAGGAUUUCGGUUCGUAAAACUCUGUUGUUAGGGAAGAAAAAAUGUAUAGUAACUAUAUACAAAAGAGACGGUACCUAACCAGAAAGCCACGGCUAACUACGUGCCAGCAGCCGCGGUAAUACGUAGGUGGCAAGCGUUGUCCGGAAUUAUUGGGCGUAAAGCGCGCGCAGGUGGUUGAGAAAGUCUGAUGUGAAAGCCCACGGCUCAACCGUGGAGGGUCAUUGGAAACUAAUAAACUUGAGUGCAGGAGAGAAGAGUGGAAUUCCUAGUGUAGCGGGGAAAUGCGUAGAGAUUAGGAGGAGAACCGGUGGCGAGAGCGGCUUUUUGGCCUGCAACUGACACUGAGGCGCGAAAGCGUGGGGAGCAAACAGG
RNAcentral lists this ribosomal RNA (429 nucleotides) under Verrucomicrobiota bacterium. RNAcentral's name for it is "Verrucomicrobia bacterium partial 16S ribosomal RNA". It matches the Rfam family "Bacterial small subunit ribosomal RNA", at positions 355 to 776 of the family's 1533-position model. Lineage: Bacteria; Pseudomonadati; Verrucomicrobiota. The record is from RNAcentral.